This 712-nucleotide ribosomal RNA is filed under the name uncultured bacterium. Its description in RNAcentral is "bacterial SSU rRNA". It matches the Rfam family "Bacterial small subunit ribosomal RNA", at positions 335 to 1056 of the family's 1533-position model. The record is from RNAcentral.
ACUCCUACGGGAGGCAGCAAUUAGGAAUCUUGCACAAUGGGCGAAAGCCUGAUGCAGCGACGCCGCGUGACUGAUGAAGUCCUUCGGGAUGUAAAAGUCUUUUCUGGGGGAAGAAGGACGUGACGGUACCCCAGGAAUAAGCCCCGGCUAACUACGUGCCAGCAGCCGCGGUAAUACGUAGGGGGCGAGCGUUGUCCGAAUUUACUGGGCGUAAAGCGCGCGUAGGCGGGUUUUUAAGUUGGUGGUGAAAUCCCGAGGCUCAACCUCGGAACUGCCUCCAAAACUGGGAACCUUGAGGUAUGGAGAGGGAAGUGGAAUUCCAGGUGUAGCGGUGAAAUGCGUAGAUAUCUGGAGGAACACCCGUGGCGAAGGCGGCUUCCUGGUCAUAUCCUGACGCUGAGGUGCGAAAGCUAGGGGAGCGAACGGGAUUAGAUACCCCGGUAGUCCUAGCCGUAAACGAUGGAUACUAGGUGUUAGAGGUAUCGACCCCUCUAGUGCCGAAGCUAACGCAUUAAGUAUCCCGCCUGGGGAGUACGACCGCAAGGUUGAAACUCAAAGGAAUUGACGGGGGCCCGCACAAGCGGUGGAGCAUGUGGUUUAAUACGUCAUUAACCGUAGAACCUUACCCAGGUUUGACAUCUGGGGAAUCCUGGUGAAAGCCGGGAGUGCUUAGUAAUAAGAACCCCAAGACAGGUGUUGCAUGGCUGUCGUC